Molecule: ribosomal RNA, 1045 nt
Filed under: uncultured bacterium
Lineage: Bacteria
Description: bacterial SSU rRNA
Rfam family: Bacterial small subunit ribosomal RNA
Source: RNAcentral
CUCAGACAUGCAAGUCGAACGCGAAAGUUCCCUUCGGGGAAUGAUUAGAGUGGCGUCCGGGUGAGUAACACGUGGGUAAUCUACCUUCGGGUGGGGAAUAACAGUCGGAAACGACUGCUAAUACCGCAUAAUGCAGCGGCACCUAAUGGUGACAGUUGUUAAAGCGGGGGAUCGCAAGACCUCGCGCCUGAAGAGGAGCCCGCGGCGGAUUAGCUAGUUGGUAGGGUAACGGCCUACCAAGGCUUCGAUCCGUAGCCGGCCUGAGAGGGCGGUCGGCCACACUGGCACUGACAUACGGGCCAGACUCCUACGGGAGGCAGCAGUCGGGAAUUUUGGGCAAUGGGCGAAAGCCUGACCCAGCAACGCCGCGUGAAGGAUGAAGCUUUUCGGAGUGUAAACUUCACAAGAAUGGGAAGAAUAAGUAGGGGAUAAUACCCCCUAUGAUGACGGUACCAUUUGUAAGCUCCGGCUAACUCCGUGCCAGCAGCCGCGGUAAUACGGGGGGAGCAAGCGUUGUUCGGAUUUACUGGGCGUAAAGGGCGCGUAGGCGGCGCAACAAGUCACUUGUGAAAUCUCCGGGCUUAACUCGGAGCGGCCAAGUGAUACUGUCGUGCUAGAGUGCGGAAGGGGCUACUGGAAUUCUCGGUGUAGCGGUGAAAUGCGUAGAUAUCGAGAGGAACACCUGCGGCGAAGGCGGGUAGCUGGGCCGACACUGACGCUGAGGCGCGAAAGCCAGGGGAGCGAACGGGAUUAGAUACCCCGGUAGUCCUGGCCUUAAACGAUGGAUACUUGGUGUCCGGGGUUACAUAGUCCCCGGGUGCCGGCGCUAACGCAUUAAGUAUCCCGCCUGGGGAGUACGGUCGCAAGACUGAAACUCAAAGGAAUUGACGGGGACCCGCACAAGCGGUGGAGCAUGUGGUUUAAUUCGACGCAACGCGAAGAACCUUACCUGGGCUAGAAUGCCUCCGACAACCCUAGAGAUAGGGCCUUCUGGGUAAAACCAGACGGAGUGCAAGGUGCUGCAUGGCUGUCGUCAGCUCGUGUC